UGAGCAAUCUGCCCUUCUCAUCGGAAUAAGCGUUGGAAACGACGUCUAAUGCCGAAUACGACCUCCUUUCGCAUGAUCGGAGGUGGAAAGCUCCGGCGGAGAAGGAUGAGCUCGCGGCCUAUCAGCUAGUUGGUGAGGUAACGGCCCACCGAGGCGACGACGGGUAGCCGGCCUGAGAGGGUGACCGGCCACACUGGGACUGAGACACGGCCCAGACUCCGUACGGGAGGNAGCG
This 235-nucleotide ribosomal RNA is filed under the name uncultured bacterium. Its description in RNAcentral is "partial 16S ribosomal RNA". It matches the Rfam family "Bacterial small subunit ribosomal RNA", at positions 118 to 353 of the family's 1533-position model. The record is from RNAcentral.